UCCAUUUCUUUGUUUGUUGGGAGAUUAGUUAUUGACUUGUUUCAUCUUUAUAACCUUUAUUCACCCUACUGUUCUAUAAAGAGCCACUUCACAGACAGACAACUGGCAGUCAUGCCCAAUUUAUUCUCAGGUGCAAAAUAACUGAGGCACAUCAAAAGAACAUAGAGAUUUUUGUUGCUUUGACAUAUUUCUAUGACCAUGCAGCUUUUUCAUUAUUGUGUUCCUUUUUUAUUGAGCAAUAAUACAUAUGAAAUCAGUA
This is a long non-coding RNA of Vitis riparia (riverbank grape), 259 nucleotides long. RefSeq lists it as uncharacterized. The record is from RefSeq and is a predicted model, not a curated record. Lineage: Eukaryota; Viridiplantae; Streptophyta; Magnoliopsida; Vitales; Vitaceae. The transcript has 2 exons.